CCCUUAGAUGUUCUGGGCUGCACACGUGCUACACUGGCAGGUUCAGCGAGCUUCAUGCCCUGAUCUGAAAGGAAUGGGAAAUCUUUUCAAAACCUGCCGUGCUUGGGAUAGAUGUUUGCAAUUAUUCAUCUUCAACGAGGAUUGCCUUGUAAGCGCACGUCAUCAGCGUGCAUUGAAUACGACCCUGUAUUCUGUACACACCGCCCGUCGCUCCUACCGAUUGAAGUUUUCGGUGAGUUGACAGGGGGAUUUUUUUGAAACUGGUUCGCCAGUGGAUUUUAGAUCCAAAUGCCAACGAAUCGAGGGCUUUAGAGGAAGGAGAAGUCGUAACA
This 332-nucleotide ribosomal RNA is filed under the name uncultured eukaryote. RNAcentral describes it as "partial 18S ribosomal RNA". It matches the Rfam family "Eukaryotic small subunit ribosomal RNA", at positions 1470 to 1796 of the family's 1831-position model. The record is from RNAcentral.